GAUGAACGCUGGCGGCGUGCCUAAUACAUGCAAGUCGAGCGAACAGAUAAGGAGCUUGCUCCUCUGACGUUAGCGGCGGACGGGUGAGUAACACGUGGGUAACCUACCUAUAAGACUGGAAUAACUCCGGGAAACCGGGGCUAAUGCCGGAUAACAUUUAGAACCGCAUGGUUCUAAAGUGAAAGAUGGUUUUGCUAUCACUUAUAGAUGGACCCGCGCCGUAUUAGCUAGUUGGUAAGGUAACGGCUUACCAAGGCAACGAUACGUAGCCGACCUGAGAGGGUGAUCGGCCACACUGGAACUGAGACACGGUCCAGACUCCUACGGGAGGCAGCAGUAGGGAAUCUUCCGCAAUGGGCGAAAGCCUGACGGAGCAACGCCGCGUGAGUGAUGAAGGUCUUCGGAUCGUAAAACUCUGUUAUUAGGGAAGAACAAAUGUGUAAGUAACUGUGCACGUCUUGACGGUACCUAAUCAGAAAGCCACGGCUAACUACGUG
Molecule: ribosomal RNA, 497 nt
Filed under: uncultured bacterium
Lineage: Bacteria
Description: partial 16S ribosomal RNA
Rfam family: Bacterial small subunit ribosomal RNA
Source: RNAcentral